GCAAACUUGGUCAUUUAGAGGAAGUAAAAGUCGUAACAAGGUCUCCGUUGGUGAACCAGCGGAGGGAUCAUUAGCGAGUAUAACUCUCUAAAACCAUUGUGAACGAACGAACCCGUUGCUUCGGCGGACAGCUCUGCUGCCGCCGGAAGAACGCAAACUCUUGUUAUUAUUGUUUCUCUGAGUACUUAUUCAAUAAGUAAAAACUUUCAACAACGGAUCUCUUGGUUCUGGCAUCGAUGAAGAACGCAGC
This 250-nucleotide unclassified non-coding RNA is filed under the name uncultured fungus. RNAcentral's name for it is "partial contains small subunit ribosomal RNA, internal transcribed spacer 1, and 5.8S ribosomal RNA". The stretch from base 1 to 73 matches the Rfam family "Eukaryotic small subunit ribosomal RNA", at positions 1759 to 1831 of the family's 1831-position model. The record is from RNAcentral. Lineage: Eukaryota; Fungi.